GGGCCGUUAGCUCAACGGCCGAGAGCGCCCGCCUCAUAAGAGGAGGACGCAGGCUCGACCCCUGCACGGCCCACCA
RNAcentral lists this transfer RNA (76 nucleotides) under Acidobacteriota bacterium. RNAcentral's name for it is "Acidobacteria bacterium tRNA-Met". It matches the Rfam family "tRNA". From Rfam's summary of the family: Transfer RNA (tRNA) molecules are approximately 80 nucleotides in length. Their secondary structure includes four short double-helical elements and three loops (D, anti-codon, and T loops). Further hydrogen bonds mediate the characteristic L-shaped molecular structure. tRNAs have two regions of fundamental functional importance: the anti-codon, which is responsible for specific mRNA codon recognition, and the 3' end, to which the tRNAs corresponding amino acid is attached (by aminoacyl-tRNA synthetases). tRNAs cope with the degeneracy of the genetic code in two manners: having more than one tRNA (with a specific anti-codon) for a particular amino acid; and 'wobble' base-pairing, i.e. permitting non-standard base-pairing at the 3rd anti-codon position. The record is from RNAcentral. RNAcentral also lists the same sequence under 1 other name. Lineage: Bacteria; Pseudomonadati; Acidobacteriota.